Molecule: ribosomal RNA, 338 nt
Filed under: uncultured Pseudomonadota bacterium
Lineage: Bacteria; Pseudomonadati; Pseudomonadota
Description: bacterial SSU rRNA
Rfam family: Bacterial small subunit ribosomal RNA
Source: RNAcentral
AACGAACGCUGGCGGCGUGCUUAACACAUGCAAGUCGAACGCGAAAGUGGUCUUCGGACUGCGAGUAGAGUGGCGCACGGGUGAGUAACGCGUAAAUAAUCUACCCUGGUGUCCAGGAUAACCGGCCGAAAGGCUGACUAAUACUGGAUAUAUGCAUAUUCGCGGGGAUAUGCAGGAAAGGUGGCCUCUUCUUGAAAGCUAUCGCACGGGGAUGAGUUUGCGUACCAUUAGCUAGUUGGUGGGGUAAAGGCCUACCAAGGCGACGAUGGUUAGCGGGUCUGAGAGGAUGAUCCGUCACACUGGCACUGGAACACGGGCCAGACUCCUACGGGUGGCUG